AGAAUGAACGCUGGCGGCAUGCCUAACACAUGCAAGUCGAACGAAGCCUUCGGGCUUAGUGGCGCACGGGUGCGUAACGCGUGGGAAUCUACCCUUGGGUUCGGAAUAACAGUUAGAAAUGACUGCUAAUACCGAAUGAUGUCGUAAGACCAAAGAUUUAUCGCCCAGGGAUGAGCCCGCGUAGGAUUAGCUAGUUGGUGUGGUAAAAGCGCACCAAGGCGACGAUCCUUAGCUGGUCUGAGAGGAUGAUCAGCCGCACUGGGACUGAGACACGGCCCAGACUCCUACGGGAGGCAGCAGUGGGGAAUAUUGGACAAUGGGCGAAAGCCUGAUCCAGCAAUGCCGCGUGAGUGAUGAAGGCCUUAGGGUUGUAAAGCUCUUUUACCCGGGAUGAUAAUGACAGUACCGGGAGAAUAAGCUCCGGCUAACUCCGUGCCAGCAGCCGC
RNAcentral lists this ribosomal RNA (446 nucleotides) under uncultured bacterium. Its description in RNAcentral is "SSU rRNA". It matches the Rfam family "Bacterial small subunit ribosomal RNA", at positions 26 to 518 of the family's 1533-position model. The record is from RNAcentral.